GUUUGAUCCUGGCUCAGGACGAACGCUGGCGGCGUGCUUAACACAUGCAAGUCAAGGGGGCCCGCAAGGGCAACCGGCGAACGGGUGCGUAACACGUGAGCAACCUGCCGAAUGCGUGGGGGAUAGCCGGCCCAACGGCCGGGUAAUACCGCAUACGUUCCUCUGGGGGAGUCCCUGGGGGAGGAAAGCUGUGGCGUAAGCCAUGGCGCGCGUCGAGGGGCUCGCGGCUUAUCAGCUAGUUGGUGCGGGUAACGGCCCACCAAGGCGACGACGAGUAGCUGGUCUGAGAGGAUGGCCAGCCACAUUGGGACUGAGAGACGGCCCAGACUCCUACGGGAGGCAGCAGUGGGGAAUCUUGCGCAAUGGCCGAAAGGCUGACGCAGCGACGCCGCGUGGGGGAUGACGCAUUUCGGUGUGUAAACCCCUGUUGCCCCGGGACGAACACCUCCUUCUGGGGAGGCUGACGGUACCGGGUGAGGAAGCACCGGCUAACUCCGUGCCAGCAGCCGCGGUAAUACGGAGGGUGCGAGCGUUGUCCGGAAUCACUGGGCGUAAAGGGCGCGUAGGUGGCUACUUAAGCGUGUGGUGAAAGUCCGGGGCUCAACCCCGGAUCGGCCGUGCGAACUGAGUGGCUUGAGCACUGUAGAGGGCAGGGUGGAAAUUUCCGGGGUGUAAGCCGGGUGGGAAAUGGCGUAAGAAGAUUCCGGGAAAGAAAACACCCCGGGUGGGCGAAGGGCGGCCUGCUGGGCAGUGGCUGACACUGAGGCGCGACAGCGUGGGGAGCAAACAGGAUUAGAUACCCUGGUAGUCCACGCCGUAAACGAUGGGCACUAGGUGCCUGGGGGAGCGACCCCCUGGGUGCCGUCGCUAACGCAUUAAGUGCCCCGCCUGGGGAGUACGGCCGCAAGGCUGAAACUCAAAGGAAUUGACG
Molecule: ribosomal RNA, 931 nt
Filed under: uncultured bacterium
Lineage: Bacteria
Description: bacterial SSU rRNA
Rfam family: Bacterial small subunit ribosomal RNA
Source: RNAcentral